CAGAGAGUAAACAUCAAACUACAGCAAAGGUGUCUGAUGGACUCACAGUGAACAAACACGAUGGCAAGAGGAAGACCUGAGGACACACGAUGAAGAAGCCGUGCAGAUGCUAUCGUGUCUUCGGUUGGCACAUUAAUGAGCUCUGACAGUGCUGUUUAUUUAAAUAAGACAGCAUUAACACUUUGAGCCUAGCUCCAGUUAACACUGAAUAUAAAUUCUAAAGCUGAAUAUGUUACGCCCACUCCCCCCACCUCUACCAUUAACAAAUGGUUCAGCCCAUAGCGUGGAGCGGCUUUAUUUCUUGUUGUCAGUAGCAACCGAUGCCUAUUAUUGUUCCAGAGCACUUUUUGAACAGCGCCGUGGAUUUCACACAGCUGCUUGGUUGUUACACUGUGGAAAUGGACUGAAGGUUCAGGAAGGAGGCGACCUGUACGGAUACAACCUGCAAAUAGAACACCUGUUUACACCUGUGUGAUGUAAUGACCUGCAGUGUGAGGGAACGAAGGACUUACCAGCAAUGCAGGAGAGGGAGGCAGUUCUGCAAACUCCACCAAAGUAAAAGUGAAGCAGCUCAGAGGCAGAGACUCACUGUCACGGCGUGC
Molecule: long non-coding RNA, 602 nt
Organism: Oreochromis niloticus (Nile tilapia)
Lineage: Eukaryota; Metazoa; Chordata; Actinopteri; Cichliformes; Cichlidae
Exons: 2
Source: RefSeq, a predicted model, not a curated record